Molecule: long non-coding RNA, 361 nt
Organism: Stylophora pistillata
Lineage: Eukaryota; Metazoa; Cnidaria; Anthozoa; Scleractinia; Pocilloporidae
Source: RefSeq, a predicted model, not a curated record
AAUGGGCUUCUGGCCGAAAGAAACGGUGGGCCUGGGGGCGAGAGCGACUACAAAAGUGUCAAAAAGCAGAACAUCAUAACCUUUUGGAUGUUUGAUGCGAUGGUAGGUGACCUAUGUUAGAAAAACCAAACAGACUAGCAGAGAUGGCUUCCUUUAAAGGAAGGCACCGAUGUCUAUAGGUCGUGCGACCUGGUGGAAGACAGUUGCGAUAUCUUGCUUCGAUAAAACCGAAAAACAUUCUAUAAAGGGAAAGACAAUCACAAACAACAAGGGAAAGUCAGGCCACAGUGUUUAUAUAUACCUUUAGUGAGGUUGGAUUUUCAUCACAGGAUCGAUCACCUUACAACUAAAGCCUCUUUCU